RNAcentral lists this ribosomal RNA (1796 nucleotides) under Galdieria partita. RNAcentral's name for it is "partial 18S rRNA". It matches the Rfam family "Eukaryotic small subunit ribosomal RNA". The record is from RNAcentral. Lineage: Eukaryota; Rhodophyta; Bangiophyceae; Galdieriales; Galdieriaceae.
GCGCGUAUGCUUGUCUCAAGGAUUAAGCCAUGCAGAUGCCAGUAUAAGCCAAAUUUAUGGCGAGACUGUGAAUGGCUCAUUAAAACAGUUAUAAUCUACACAAUGUUUUCUUUUACAUGGAUAACCCUAGUAAUGCUAGAGCUAAUACAUGCCCGGUCCAAAAUUUUUUUGGGACCANNNNNNNNNNNNNNNNNNNNNNNNNNNNNNNNNNNNNNNNNNNNNNNNNUGGACAUACAAGUCUUGUGGAAUCAUGAUAAUUUUGUGGAUUGAUAGUUUUUAUACUAUCGACGCAUUGUUUGAAUAUCUGCCCUAUCAACUUUUGACGGUAGGAUCGAGGCCUACCGUGGUGUUGACGGGUAACGGGGAAUUGGGGUUCGAUUCCGGAGAGGGAGCCUGAGAGAUGGCUACCACAUCCAAGGAUGGCAGCAGGCGCGCAAAUUACCCAAUCCUGACACAGGGAGGUAGCGACAAGAAAUACCGAUAGAUAGCACACUNGUGUUAUCUUAUUGGAAUGACAUUUAUUUAAACGUUAAACGGAGUAACGAUUGGAGGGCAAGUCUGGUGCCAGCAGCCGCGGUAAUUCCAGCUCCAAUAGCGUACACGAACGUUGUUGCAGUUAAAACGCCCGUAGUCUGAAUUGUGAGGUUUUUGGAAUUUUUUUGCAAUCUUUUGUAAGAAAUUCCAACGAACCUCAUCUACAAGUGCAUACCUUGAGUGGUCUUGAUUGAUUGCUUGAGGUUGUGCACUUGAACUUUACUGUGAAAAAAUUAGAGUGUUUCAAGCGUUUUUUGUGAAAGGAUAGCUUAGCAUGGUAUAAACGAAUCGAGGCCAUUUCAUGUUUGGUAUAGGAGCAUGAAAUGUUUAGCCACAACCAUCAACAGGGGUAGUUGGGGCCAUUUGUAUUCCAUAGUCAGAGGUGAAAUUCUUGGAUUUUUGGAAGACAUACUGCUGCGAAAGCGUUUGGCAAGGAUAUACCCAUUGAUCAAGGACGAAAGUUAGGGGAUCGAAGACGAUUAGAUACCGUCGUAGUCUUAACCAUAAACGAUGCCAUCUAAGAGAUGGUGUAUUGAAUGAUAUAAUCGUACAUCCUUUUUUUCCGGGAAACCAAAGCUUUUGGGUUCUGGGGGGAGUAUGGUCGCAAGUCUGAAACUUAAAGGAAUUGACGGAAGGGCACCACCAGGAGUGGAGCCUGCGGCUUAAUUUGACUCAACACGGGGCAACUUACCAGGUCCGGACAUUUUUAUGAUUGACAGAUUGAUAGCUCUUUCUUGAUUGAAUGGGUGGUGGUGCAUGGCCGUUCUUAGUUGGUGGAGUGAUUUGUCUGGUUAAUUCCGUUAACGAACGAGACCUUUUCCUGCUAACUAGUUUUAUUUAUUUUCUUUGAAAGGAAAUGGAUAAACUUCUUAGAGGUACUAUUCGUUUUUCACGGAUGGAAGUUGUAGGCAAUAACAGGUCUGUGAUGCCCUUUGAUGUCCUGGGCUGCACGCGGGCUACACUGAUGCAUUCAAAGAGUAUUUUUCUACCUACUCUGACAAGAGUUAUUUUGGGUAAUCUUUGAAAGUGCAUCGUGCUUGGGAUUGAAUUCUGUAACUGUAUUCAUGAACGAGGAAUUCCUUGUAAACGCGAGUCAUCAACUUGCGUUGAAUACGUCCCUGCCCUUUGUACACACCGCCCGUCGCUCCUACCGAUUGAACGAUCCGGUGAAGCGUACGGAUUGCAAGGCAAAUUUAUUAUGAUUUGCUUUGCGAGAAGUACGUUGAACCUUAUUGUUUAGAGGAAGGAGAAGUCGUAACAAG